This 149-nucleotide ribosomal RNA is filed under the name Metazoa environmental sample. RNAcentral's name for it is "partial small subunit ribosomal RNA". It matches the Rfam family "Eukaryotic small subunit ribosomal RNA", at positions 1296 to 1461 of the family's 1831-position model. The record is from RNAcentral. Lineage: Eukaryota; Metazoa.
AGUUGGAGGAGCGAUUUGUCAGGUUGAUCCCGAUAACAAACGAGACUCUGGCUUGCUAAAUAGUCGCCCGACCCAGUUAUGCAUCGGCGCUCGGCUUCUUAGAGGGACAAGCGGCGUGAAGAGCCGUAUGAGAUUGAGCAAUAACAGGU